Molecule: ribosomal RNA, 504 nt
Filed under: uncultured bacterium
Lineage: Bacteria
Description: partial 16S ribosomal RNA
Rfam family: Bacterial small subunit ribosomal RNA
Source: RNAcentral
GACGAACGCUGGCGGCGUGCUUAACACAUGCAAGUCGAACGGUGAAGCGCUUGCCUUUUUGGUGGGUGUGGAUGAGUGGCGAACGGGUGAGUAACACGUGAGUAACCUGCCCUCUUCUUCUGGAUAACCUCAUGAAAGUGGGGCUAAUACGGGGUAUUCCGGGUCUGUCGCAUGGCGGGUUUGGGAAAGAUUGCGCCUUUGGGUGUUUUCGGUGGGGGAUGGGCUCGCGGCCUAUCAGCUUGUUGGUGGGGUGAUGGCCUACCAAGGCGGUGACGGGUAGCCGGCCUGAGAGGGUGGACGGCCACACUGGGACUGAGACACGGCCCAGACUCCUGCGGGAGGCAGCAGUGGGGAAUAUGGCACAAUGGGCGCAAGCCUGAUGCAGCGACGCCGCGUGAGGGAUGGAGGCCUUCGGGUUGUGAACCUCUUUCGCCAGUGAAGCAGGCCUGCUCCUGUGUGGGUGGGUUGACGGUAGCUGGAUAAGAAGCGCCGGCUAACUACGUG